RNAcentral lists this ribosomal RNA (530 nucleotides) under uncultured bacterium. Its description in RNAcentral is "bacterial SSU rRNA". It matches the Rfam family "Bacterial small subunit ribosomal RNA", at positions 356 to 896 of the family's 1533-position model. The record is from RNAcentral.
UGGGAAUAUUGCACAAUGGGCGGAAGCCUGAUGCAGCAACGCCGCGUGCGGGAUGACGGCCUUCGGGUUGUAAACCGCUUUCGCCUGUGACGAAGCGUGAGUGACGGUAAUGGGUAAAGAAGCACCGGCUAACUACGUGCCAGCAGCCGCGGUGAUACGUAGGGUGCGAGCGUUGUCCGGAUUUAUUGGGCGUAAAGGGCUCGUAGGUGGUUGAUCGCGUCGGGAGUGUAAUCUUGGGGCUUAACCCUGAGCGUGCUUUCGAUACGGGUUGACUUGAGGAAGGUAGGGGAGAAUGGAAUUCCUGGUGGAGCGGUGGAAUGCGCAGAUAUCAGGAGGAACACCAGUGGCGAAGGCGGUUCUCUGGGCCUUUCCUGACGCUGAGGAGCGAAAGCGUGGGGAGCGAACAGGCUUAGAUACCCUGGUAGUCCACGCUGUAAACGGUGGGUACUAGGUGUGGGGUCCAUUCCACGGGUUCCGUGCCGUAGCUAACGCUUUAAGUACCCCGCCUGGGGAGUACGGCCGCAAGGCUA